GAUGAACGCUGGCGGCGUGCUUAACACAUGCAAGUCGAACGAUGAGUGAAGACGGUAACCUUCGGGCGGAAGGCUUCAUUUCGAGUGGCGGACGGGUGAGUAACGCCUGGGUAACCUGCCUCAUACAGGGGGAUCACAGUUGGAAACGACAUUUAAUACCGCGUCAGACCGCAGCACCGCAUGGUGCGGGGGUAAACACUCCGGUGGUAUGCGAUGGACCUGUGUUCGAUUAGCCGGUUUGCGGGGUAACGGCCGAGCCAAGCGACGAUCGAAAGCUGAGAUGGGAGGAUGGCCCACCACAUUGGGGCAGAGACACGGCGCGAACUCCUAGGGAAGGGAGCAGUGGGGAAUAUUGCACGAUGGGGGAGGCACUGAGGCAGCCGCGCCGCGUAGGUGAGGAAGUAUUUCAGUAUGGAUAGCACUAUCGGCAGGGCAGAAAGUGACGGUACCUUAGUAAGAAGCCCCGGCUAACUACGUG
Molecule: ribosomal RNA, 478 nt
Filed under: uncultured bacterium
Lineage: Bacteria
Description: partial 16S ribosomal RNA
Rfam family: Bacterial small subunit ribosomal RNA
Source: RNAcentral